Molecule: long non-coding RNA, 1361 nt
Filed under: Trifolium pratense (red clover)
Lineage: Eukaryota; Viridiplantae; Streptophyta; Magnoliopsida; Fabales; Fabaceae
Description: long non-coding RNA (TPRA_LNC012595)
Source: RNAcentral
ACUCUCAUUACAACCCCAAACUUGAACUGUUACUUGUCCUCAAGUGACAUGCCUGUCAAAACAAAACUGUCAGGGAAUUAACAAAUUAAUUUGAAUGAUAAAAAUCUCAUAAACCUUUUUCUCUUCAUCCGGCAAUAGAACCACCGGUCUUAACUUCAGUGAUUCUGCUCAAUCAACACUCUGACUUCUAAGACUUCGAUAAGAUUAAGUCCAAUGACUGUUCCACACGAUGUUCAAGGUUCAACCUUAUCUCUCACUCACCAAUUCACUCAAUUUGACAGGGUAUUCACUCCAUCAACAUGCAAAUGCUAUUUUACCAUAAGCUUGAAAAAAUUCUAAACGUCAAUCAAAGUAAAUACAUCACACACAUUUUUGACGUCUUGAGGGUUAUAACUUGGCUUGGCUAAAUGGUGGGAUAAUUUUGGGAAAAGUAGGCUAAAUUGGAGUUAGGUAUCCACUACUAUUCCUUAAUGAAAAAUUACUAUUACCGGGGCUCACUUCAUUGCUAAUAAGAUACUUAGAGAACUUAUCUUUCAAUUUUUUUUUAUUUUUUUUUUUUAAGAUGCCACUAUUUUUCAUGCUUAAUGGCUCUUUAUAUAUUUUUUUUGGAAGAAACUCCAUUAUUUUUGUAAGUCUUUGUUAUUCUCUUCNNNNNNNNNNNNNNNNNNNNNNNNNNNNNNNNNNNUCUUUUUUUUUUUCAAGUUCUCUAGUAUCCCUACCCCAAACUUAAGAUGUUGCUAAUUCCAUAAGCAACCCCAAACUUAUAAUGACGCCAUGACAAGGAAAUUUAAAGCUUCUACCUAACUCCAAAGAGGGCAAACAGAUAAAAAUUUUCAGGUCUUAAAGGCUUAUAAUUUGGUAUGUCACCGAAAGAAAGGGGGAUAUUUUUUUUUUUUUUAGGCUCAAAAUGGUUUAGCAACGGAUAAAUAAUAAACAUGGUAGCUUGAAAAGGCUUAGAGUACCAAACAAAUGUGCCUCUAUGUGUGCAAAUGUAAAACCAAUCAACAGUAAAGAAUAGUCGCAAGUUCUAGAAAAUAUACAAAUCAUGGAUACUCUAAUAAGAUGUGAAAGAAAAAGUAUACCGUGGAAUUUCUUUGGCUCAAUAUGCUCACCAGCUNNCUCCAUCUUUCCUAUUCAUCUCUUUGUCUCUUGAACCAUCGCGCUUUCAUGAGCAGUUACACGUCAGAUAUUCUUUUAUGUGCAAGUCUAAGAGAUUCUCAUCAUGCAAAUUCAGGUGUUAACACACUGAGAAUUCUAAAAAGACAUAAAAACAUUCAACUUGAUAAUAAACAAAGUAACAUAGGAUGAAACAUAGGGGAUUGUCAGCAAACAACAACCAUGACUGACUCUUUUUUUUUUUU